AGCAGCCGCGGUAAUUCCAGCUCCAAUAGCGUAUAUUAAAGUUGUUGCAGUUAAAAAGCUCGUAGUUGAAUUUCGGGAUCAAUACGUCGGUCGUGCUUAGGUACGUACUGGCGUAAUUGAUUUCUCCCUUCUGACGAACCAUGAUGUCAUUAACUUGGUGUCAUGGGAAAUCAGGACUGUUACUUUGAAAAAAUUAGAGUGUUUAAAGCAGGCUCACGCUUGAAUACAUUAGCAUGGAAUAAUGAAAUAGGACGUUCGAUCCUAUUUUGUUGGUUUUAGGAUCAACGUAAUGAUUAAUAGGGAUAGUUGGGGGCAUUAGUAUUCAAUUGUCAGAGGUGAAAUUCUUGGAUUUAUUGAAGACUAACUACUGCGAAAGCAUUUGCCAAGGAUGUUUUCAUUAAUCAAGAACGAAAGUUAGGGGAUCGAAGACGAUCAGAUACCGUCGUAGUCUUAACCAUAAACUAUGCCGACUAGGGAUCGGAUGAUGUUAAUUUUUAAUGACUCAUUCGGCGCCUUAAC
Molecule: ribosomal RNA, 519 nt
Filed under: uncultured Glomus
Lineage: Eukaryota; Fungi; Glomeromycota; Glomeromycetes; Glomerales; Glomeraceae
Description: SSU rRNA
Rfam family: Eukaryotic small subunit ribosomal RNA
Source: RNAcentral